Molecule: ribosomal RNA, 433 nt
Filed under: uncultured bacterium
Lineage: Bacteria
Description: partial 16S ribosomal RNA
Rfam family: Bacterial small subunit ribosomal RNA
Source: RNAcentral
AACGAACGCUGGCGGCAUGCCUAACACAUGCAAGUCGAACGAGACCUUCGGGUCUAGUGGCGCACGGGUGCGUAACGCGUGGGAACCUGCCCUUAGGUUCGGAAUAACUCCCCGAAAGGGGUGCUAAUACCGGAUAAUGUCUUCGGACCAAAGAUUUAUCGCCUUUGGAUGGGCCCGCGUUGGAUUAGCUAGUUGGUAGGGUAAAAGCCUACCAAGGCGACGAUCCAUAGCUGGUCUGAGAGGAUGAUCAGCCACACUGGGACUGAGACACGGCCCAGACUCCUACGGGAAGCAGCAGUGGGGAAUAUUGGACAAUGGGCGAAAGACUGAUCCAGCAAUGCCGCGUGAGUGAUGAAGGCCUUAGGGUUGUAAAGCUCUUUUACCCGGGAUGAUAAUGACAGUACCGGGAGAAUAAGCUCCGGCUAACUACGUG